GGACGAACCCUUGGAGAGAUCCACUCUGCAUAGCAGAAAAUGGACGCCGAAGGCGAAAGCAAUGAAUGCGAAACGCUCAGGCAAAAGGACAGGGGAGAAAAG
RNAcentral lists this non-coding RNA (102 nucleotides) under Glaesserella parasuis. RNAcentral describes it as "Haemophilus parasuis Glycine sequence". It matches the Rfam family "Glycine riboswitch aptamer". From Rfam's summary of the family: This family represents the bacterial glycine riboswitch. Glycine riboswitches usually consist of two metabolite-binding aptamers domains with similar structures in tandem. The record is from RNAcentral. RNAcentral also lists the same sequence under 1 other name. Lineage: Bacteria; Pseudomonadati; Pseudomonadota; Gammaproteobacteria; Pasteurellales; Pasteurellaceae.